UACGUAGGCAGCGAGCGUUGUUCGGAGUUACUGGGCGUAAAGGGUGUGUAGGCGGUCUUCUAAGUCUGGUGUGAAAUCUCCCGGCUCAACUGGGAGGGUGCGCCGGAAACUGGGAGGCUAGAGUGCGGGAUGGGAGAGUGGAAUUCCUGGUGUAGCGGUGAAAUGCGCAGAUAUCAGGAGGAACACCGGUGGCGAAGGCGGGUCUCUGGGCCGUAACUGACGCUGAGGAGCGAAAGCGUGGGGAGCGAACAGG
RNAcentral lists this ribosomal RNA (253 nucleotides) under uncultured bacterium. Its description in RNAcentral is "partial 16S ribosomal RNA". It matches the Rfam family "Bacterial small subunit ribosomal RNA", at positions 524 to 776 of the family's 1533-position model. The record is from RNAcentral.